Molecule: ribosomal RNA, 253 nt
Filed under: uncultured bacterium
Lineage: Bacteria
Description: partial 16S ribosomal RNA
Rfam family: Bacterial small subunit ribosomal RNA
Source: RNAcentral
UACGUAGGGGGCUAGCGUUGUCCGGAAUCAUUGGGCGUAAAGCGCGUGUAGGCGGCCCGGUAAGUCCGCUGUGAAAGUCCAGGGCUCAACCCUGGGAUGCCGGUGGAUACUGUCGGGCUCGAGUCCGGAAGAGGCGAGUGGAAUUCCUGGUGUAGCGGUGAAAUGCGCAGAUAUCAGGAGGAACACCGAUGGCGAAGGCGGCAUCCUGGACCGAGAUUGACGCUGAUGCGCGAAAGCCAGGGGAGCAAACGGG